This 426-nucleotide ribosomal RNA is filed under the name uncultured bacterium. RNAcentral's name for it is "bacterial SSU rRNA". It matches the Rfam family "Bacterial small subunit ribosomal RNA", at positions 354 to 796 of the family's 1533-position model. The record is from RNAcentral.
GUGAGGAAUUUUCCGCAAUGGGCGAAAGCCUGACGGAGCAAUGCCGCGUGAAGGAUGAAGGCCUAUGGGUUGUAAACUUCUUUUCUCAGAAAAGAAUUAUGACGGUAUCUGAGGAAUAAGCAUCGGCUAACUCUGUGCCAGCAGCCGCGGUAAGACAGAGGAUGCAAGCGUUAUCCGGAAUGAUUGGGCGUAAAGCGUCUGUAGGUUGUUUAAAAAGUAUUCUGUCAAAGAUUAGGGCUUAACCCUAGAUAGGCAGAAUAAACUUUUAAGCUAGAUUUUGGUAGAGGAAGAGGGAAUUCUCGGUGGAGCGGUGAAAUGCGUAGAUAUCGGGAGGAACACCAAAGGCGAAGGCACUCUGCUGGGCCAAUACUAACACUGAGAGACGAAAGCGAGGGGAGCAAAUGGGAUUAGAUACCCCUGUAGUCC